This 268-nucleotide ribosomal RNA is filed under the name uncultured bacterium. RNAcentral's name for it is "partial 16S ribosomal RNA". It matches the Rfam family "Bacterial small subunit ribosomal RNA", at positions 334 to 599 of the family's 1533-position model. The record is from RNAcentral.
GUGUCCUACGGGGGGCAGCAGUGAGGAAUAUUGGUCAAUGGCCGGAAGGCUGAACCAGCCAAGCCGCGUGAAGGACGAAGGCACCAAGCAUUGUAAACUUCUUUUGUCAAGGGACAAAAUCAGGCACGAGAGCCUGACCGAGGGUACUUGAAGAAAAAGCAUCGGCUAACUCCGUGCCAGCAGCCGCGGUAAUACGGAGGAUGAGAGCGUUAUCCGGAUUUAUUGGGUUUAAAGGGUGCGUAGGCGGACUGAUAAGUCAGAGGAAAAA